UGCUGUUGUUUGAAGCCUCACUUUGCUUGUCCUUGCCUCCCAGCAGAGAUAGUUGCAUCAGUGUGUGCCUUAGACGGUCAGUAUCAUGAGGCCAUUGGACACAGGGUGAAAGGCCUCAACACAUAUGGAGAAUGACUUGCAGUGAUCCCGCGUCUCUGUGAAGGCCAUGCUCAGGCACCUUCCUUUCAGCUCUUGUGCAGCUCCAGCAGAAAGUGGAAUACCGGCACUCUGGGGGAACUGGAUUGUGCUGUAUUAUAGUGCCAGAAUAGCAGAGCGAUGCCACUCUGGAUUUCCUGAAAUGAGACGGUGCUUGUUGUGAUCAACAGUGAGAAGGAGAGACUGCAGCUGUUCAGAAACAAUGGAGAAAGAGCAGAAGGGAGAUGAGGAGCUAAACUGGAAUAUGACAUUGGAGUUGCCUCUGUGUCUCUUACUGCUGCUUCAUGUCAGGAUCUGGUUUGUGCUAGGGGAAAAGCUGGCAAUACAGACCAAUGUAAGUAUGUAGUCAGUCCCCAAGCAGGACUUGGGAGGUGAGCAAACCCUUCUGGCAGGCUGUUCAGCUCAACCAUCACUGCGAGGCAACUCUGGCCAGUGUAUGAAUUCAAGUGAGGCAGAGGUGGCAUCCUUGCUGCUUGCAACAAUUCCCUGUAAAGGACCAUGAAAGAUCGUUGCAGUUUCGGGGCAGAUCUGUGCAGUGUUACUCUCCAGGUGGUGGUGGAAUAUGGUGUGUUUAAUUUUGUGAGUAUGGUUUCCUUCCAUACAGUGGCAUGUGUGACAGCUGUCUGUUGACCUGAACUUACCAGUACCUGUCUUUCAGAAGAGUAGUCCUCAAAUCCUGUUGGCAACUUCAGUUAUUGCUGCCAGCCCUUUGGAUAGCCCCCGAGUUUGCCCCUUGCAAGGUAAAGCCCAUGACCUCCAGAUUGGUGAGGAUCAUGGCUGCUCCCAUGGAACUUUCUGGUUUCCUUCAGGCUGGCAAGAUCAAGUGAAGUGCAGCCCUACCAUUUCUACUGCAGCUCCCCUUAGGAGUAGAAGGCAAAGGGGGCAGGCUGUGGU
Molecule: long non-coding RNA, 1050 nt
Filed under: Dromaius novaehollandiae (emu)
Lineage: Eukaryota; Metazoa; Chordata; Aves; Casuariiformes; Dromaiidae
Description: lncRNA (ENSDNVG00000014673.1)
Source: RNAcentral